UUGUAAUUCAAGCAAGCUAAGGUAAGGAUUUCUGUGUUUUCAGUUCAUGGUCUGUUAAAUCCUUGGAAAAAAAAUGAGUGAAUCAUUUUUUGGUAGCUAUGGUGGCCAUGGGUGUGAGGGAAUUAUGAAUUUUGUUGGGUGAAAUCCAAGCUAAAACCAAGUGGUAAGCUUCAUGCUAUAAUUUAAAGCCUAUGAUUGGUUUACUAUGGUGAUAAUGAUUGUGUGCAAUAUGUAGCGCUAUUUUGGUGUCAUGGGUAUGAUUGGAAGGUAAUUAUAUUAAUUGGAAAUUUGGAAAAGUAAUGAAUUGUGUGGAUAUAUGUGUUGUUAGGAAAAGCUUAAAAGGGUUAUGGAUGUUGCUGCGUAUGAAUGGAUAUUGAUGUUAUACUUGGUGGCAACAUGUAAAUGAAAAUAGUGUUACAUGUAAACUUAGAAAGUGUUUGAUGGAAGGAAAUUUGUAGUUGCUGCCAUAUGUUAGCUAAUUAUUGUGGAAAUGAUGGUUAAACUUGAUAAAUAUCCUUAGACAAGGUUAAUAUAUGUGUUAGAGUUAUAAACAAGUUGCCAGUAUCCAUAAUCUAAAGAAUAACGCAAGUAAAGGAUAAAGACAACUUUGGUAAAAAUGUGUCAAGAUAUAAGUUAGUUGAAUAAGGAUUCAUGAUGGAAGGAGAAAGAAAAGUAGGAAUGAUGUACACUAAAGGUAUUGCAUUUGUAUGGUUGCUAGGAAGUGCAAAGGUAAAGUUAGAGUACUGUGGUGGUGUGUCGAGGAAAAUAACGAGCGACCAGCAAGUAGGAAUAGCUAGAUACACCUCCAAACAAAUAGCAAUGUAAUGUCCCGCUAUCGUAAGGUAAGUGAACUUGCAUUAAAAUGUUUUGGGAUAUACACAUUUAUGUUUGAUUGAAUCCCCUAAAACGUUUUAUUGGUUUUUCUUCAAAAACUCGCAUGGGAAUAAGCCCUUAUGAAAUGUUUUUAUGCUAUGAAAUGGAUAAGGUGAUGAAUCCAUGUGUUUCUGUAUAAUAUUGAUAUCUAUAUAUAUACUAUAUCAUAACUGGUACAUUGUGUGACAAAAUGCAACCGUGCAUGUGCGGGGUGAGUGUGCACCUGCCACUGAUGAUGGUGGUGAAGGAGAUGGAUGGUGAUAUUGCCUAUGUGCACUAUGUGGGGGGAUGCACACGAUGGAAUUAGCUGUGCAUGAUGUGGGAGGAUGCACACAAUGAUGAUAUCGCUUGUGCACGAUGUAAGGGGAUGCAUAAAGCGAUAAUAUUGCUUGUGCACGAUGUGGGGGGAUGCACACGAUGACUUCGGCUAUGUGCACGAUGUGGGGGGAUGCACAUGAGCUGGGUGAGAUGGUGGUGUAUGUGCUUAUAUAUAUACAUAUUUACUAUAUAGAGAUGUUUGGAUUUAAUAUGUGAUUGCGUUGACUGUUGAAAACUUGAGUAUUGUCAAUGUGUUCAAUUUAAUGUGCAAUGUGGCAUGAAUGGAUUUUUUCGGUGGCAGUGAAAGCCCCUUGGGUUUUAUUUGGCCAGAAUUUCAUUGUAGCGNCAUGAAUGGAUUUUUCGGUGGCAGUGAAAGCCCCUUGGGUUUUAUUUGGCCAGAAUUUCAUUGUAGCGAGAUUGCCUUUUGGCUGCGGUGAGAGUCAAUCUAUUAUGCUUGACUUGCUUGAAUUCUACUAAAGUUUUCACUUUUCAACUUCUUUAUUAUUCAUGGGUCUUUCGUCAUCAAGUGACUAAAUGACAAGGAUUUGAAUGAGGGGUUUUUUGAUAAGAAAUAAGCUAAAUUGCAUUGUUUUUGGAACCUAAGUACAUCAUGAUUUCUAAACCUUCCUUAACGUUUGCUUGUUCCCUUCCUAUGUUUACUCACUAAGUUUGUACUUACGUUUUUAAAAUUCAUGUUUUAGGUUUCCUGAGUUAGAGGUGAUUGGAUCCUAGGAUGAGGUGCUCCUCCCUAUCCAUUGCUCGGUAGGUUUAACAUGACACUAAAUGUUAGCAAUUGUGCCCAUAGUCACUCCGUUGAUGGUCAAGGUCUAAUUAUGUGUAUAUGAAU
Molecule: long non-coding RNA, 2038 nt
Filed under: Theobroma cacao (cacao)
Lineage: Eukaryota; Viridiplantae; Streptophyta; Magnoliopsida; Malvales; Malvaceae
Description: long non-coding RNA (TCAC_LNC002358)
Source: RNAcentral